GCUGGAUGCAAUAGCGAGUGCCUGUAGUCCCAGCUAUUCGGGAGGCUGAGGCUGGAGGAUCUUGCUUGAGUCCAGGAGUUCUGGGCUGUAGUGUGCUAUGCCGGGUGUCUGCACUAAGUUUGGCAACAAUAUGGUGACCCCCCCGGGAGCCGGGGACCACCAGGUUGCCUAAGGAGGGGUGAACCAACCCAGGUCGGAAAUCCAGCAGGUCAAAACUCCCGUGCUGAUCAGUAGUGGGAUCGCGCCUAUGAAUAGCCACUGCACUCCAGCCUGGGCAACAGAGCGAGACUCCGUCUCUU
This is an unclassified non-coding RNA of Callithrix jacchus (white-tufted-ear marmoset), 299 nucleotides long. It matches the Rfam family "Metazoan signal recognition particle RNA". Rfam says of the family: The signal recognition particle (SRP) is a universally conserved ribonucleoprotein. Lineage: Eukaryota; Metazoa; Chordata; Mammalia; Primates; Cebidae. The record is from Ensembl.